GUCGAGCGGUAGCACAGAGAGCUUGCUCUCGGGUGACGAGCGGCGGACGGGUGAGUAAUGUCUGGGAAACUGCCUGAUGGAGGGGGAUAACUACUGGAAACGGUAGCUAAUACCGCAUAACGUCGCAAGACCAAAGUGGGGGACCUUCGGGCCUCAUGCCAUCAGAUGUGCCCAGAUGGGAUUAGCUAGUAGGUGGGGUAACGGCUCACCUAGGCGACGAUCCCUAGCUGGUCUGAGAGGAUGACCAGCCACACUGGAACUGAGACACGGUCCAGACUCCUACGGGAGGCAGCAGUGGGGAAUAUUGCACAAUGGGCGCAAGCCUGAUGCAGCCAUGCCGCGUGUGUGAAGAAGGCCUUCGGGUUGUAAAGCACUUUCAGCGGGGAGGAAGGCGUUAAGGUUAAUAACCUUGGCGAUUGACGUUACCCGCAGAAGAAGCACCGGCUAACUCCGUGCCAGCAGCCGCGGUAAUACGGAGGGUGCAAGCGUUAAUCGGAAUUACUGGGCGUAAAGCGCACGCAGGCGGUCUGUCAAGUCGGAUGUGAAAUCCCCGGGCUCAACCUGGGAACUGCAUUCGAAACUGGCAGGCUAGAGUCUUGUAGAGGGGGGUAGAAUUCCAGGUGUAGCGGUGAAAUGCGUAGAGAUCUGGAGGAAUACCGGUGGCGAAGGCGGCCCCCUGGACAAAGACUGACGCUCAGGUGCGAAAGCGUGGGGAGCAAACAGGAUUAGAUACCCUGGUAGUCCACGCCGUAAACGAUGUCGAUUUGGAGGUUGUGCCCUUGAGGCGUGGCUUCCGGAGCUAACGCGUUAAAUCGACCGCCUGGGGAGUACGGCCGCAAGGUUAAAACUCAAAUGAAUUGACGGGGGCCCGCACAAGCGGUGGAGCAUGUGGUUUAAUUCGAUGCAACGCGAAGAACCUUACCUGGUCUUGACAUCCACAGAACUUUCCAGAGAUGGAUUGGUGCCUUCGGGAACUGUGAGACAGGUGCUGCAUGGCUGUCGUCAGCUCGUGUUGUGAAAUGUUGGGUUAAGUCCCGCAACGAGCGCAACCCUUAUCCUUUGUUGCCAGCGGUUAGGCCGGGAACUCAAAGGAGACUGCCAGUGAUAAACUGGAGGAAGGUGGGGAUGACGUCAAGUCAUCAUGGCCCUUACGACCAGGGCUACACACGUGCUACAAUGGCAUAUACAAAGAGAAGCGACCUCGCGAGAGCAAGCGGACCUCAUAAAGUAUGUCGUAGUCCGGAUUGGAGUCUGCAACUCGACUCCAUGAAGUCGGAAUCGCUAGUAAUCGUAGAUCAGAAUGCUACGGUGAAUACGUUCCCGGGCCUUGUACACACCGCCCGUCACACCAUGGGAGUGGGUUGCAAAAGAAGUAG
RNAcentral lists this ribosomal RNA (1376 nucleotides) under Klebsiella pneumoniae. RNAcentral's name for it is "bacterial SSU rRNA". It matches the Rfam family "Bacterial small subunit ribosomal RNA", at positions 61 to 1429 of the family's 1533-position model. The record is from RNAcentral. Lineage: Bacteria; Pseudomonadati; Pseudomonadota; Gammaproteobacteria; Enterobacterales; Enterobacteriaceae.